This 223-nucleotide unclassified non-coding RNA is filed under the name Hevea brasiliensis (rubber tree). Lineage: Eukaryota; Viridiplantae; Streptophyta; Magnoliopsida; Malpighiales; Euphorbiaceae. The record is from RNAcentral.
AAUGAAGCUGCUGCAAAGAAGUUUGAGCAGGCUUCAGUAAAAAGGUCAUAUAAGCCGGCCUGCCAAGUUUUCCAUCUUAAAUCAUAUCAUUGAGAAUCUCUACAUCACUUCAAGCAUUUGCUCUUGAUGCUUCUUGGCAAAAAAACAUGCCAAUAAGCACCUUAGGCACCCAUGGUUAAAUUGUUCUAUAGAAAUUACAUUUGCUUUGUUUUUUGUGUCAUCC